ACUACUGGGCAUAUGCACAUCAUUAUAGCAUACUUUUUCUCACACUCAACAACUAAGCUAAGCAGGGUUGAGCCUGGUCAGUACCUGGAUGGGAGACCUCCUGGGAAAACUAGGUUGCUGUUGGAA
RNAcentral lists this ribosomal RNA (126 nucleotides) under Sinocyclocheilus rhinocerous. The record is from RNAcentral. Lineage: Eukaryota; Metazoa; Chordata; Actinopteri; Cypriniformes; Cyprinidae.